Molecule: ribosomal RNA, 1755 nt
Filed under: Triticum aestivum (bread wheat)
Lineage: Eukaryota; Viridiplantae; Streptophyta; Magnoliopsida; Poales; Poaceae
Description: partial small subunit ribosomal RNA
Source: RNAcentral
AUGCCUUCUGUGGCGUGCUCACCGGAGCACAGGGCUUCUGCACGACCAGAGGACAUCCUCGAGAGCAGCACGCUCCUCUCUGCGCGACCAGAGGAUGGCCCCGACGUGCACAGCGGAGCGUGCACUAGCGGCGCUGCGCAGUCAGGCUGUGCACGGAGGCUAGCGACGCUCCGGCACGCUGGACCUGUUGUGCACGGUGGUUGGCGAUGUUGUAGCGGAAUCCAAGGAGCCCUUGGCUAUGCCUGUGCUGGCGCGCGCCAUGGAGGGCAUGUCCGACCGUCCUCGCGGGCAGCCUCAUGCCCGACCAGCCGCUGGCCGCGGAAGCUCAUUGCCAUGCCCCGAGAAAGAGCUCCCCGUCGGCUGCCCAAAAGAAUGUAUAGAAUCAGAUUUGUCUCGGACUUGCUCAAUGAGAAUGGCUCCUGGAAUCUUGCGUUGUUACAACAAUAUUUCCUUUCGGCGGAUGUUGUAGAGAUUUUGAAAAUUCGUGCGUCGCCAUGGCUAGGAGAUGACACGUUGGCUUGGGGUCCAGGAAAGUACGGCGUGUUUUCUGUUAGGAGCGCUUAUCAGUUCGGUUUUGAAGAGGCAUAUAGAAGCCCGUCUACUGGCUCAAGUUCACGCCCAGAUGGUCGGCGAUCUUGCUGGCAAUUCAUUUGGCCCACUGAUGUACCCCCAAGUGUUCGGAACUUUGCUUGGCGUGUGGCUAUAGACUCUCUUCCGACUUGGAGAAACAAACAUAUUCGGGGCCUUGAAAUAAAUGAUCUAUGCCCAGUAUGUGGAACUGAAUCUGAGGACAGUUUUCAUGCACUCUACCACUGUACAUUGUCAAGGGUUCUUUGGGACUUAAUGGCAAAAGCUUGGACAUUGCCUUGUAUAAGUAUCAUGCAAAAUAAUGGGAAAGAAUGGUUGCUACAUGCUUUACAACCUCCUCCUGAUAUUGAGCGUUCAAUGUUGCUUAUGAUGCUUUGGCGGGCGUGGCACAUCCGUAACGAGGUGGUUCAUCAUAAACCGCCGCCGCCCAUGGAGGCCUCUAAGCAUUUCUUGAAAAUGGUCCUAAGUGGAGUGCUCCCAAAUCUGGAUGGGUCAAGUUAUCCACGGAUGGGUCUUAUGGUGAUGGCGGCUCAGCAGGUUCUGGUAUGGUACUUCGAGAUGACAAAGAGAAGUGACCUUCCAGUGGAGAUAGAAAUGGAUUCAAUCGUCGCUUUCAAGUUGAUCCGGGCCAAGGAGAUUGAUAGAUCGGUCUACUCGUCGCUUAUUAUGGAGAUUAGACACCUUAUGUCUCUUCGUGAUUCUUUGCGACUAGCUGAUGCGCGCUGCGGCUUCGUAGUACCGUGGGACGGAGACAGAGUGGUGCACAAGAAAACUGGCGGUCCAACUCGCCAACUCGGUCUGGUGUGCAUGGGUAGCUGGAGGUCCAACUCGCCAACUCGGUCAGGUAGGGUAGGAGUAGAUCUGGCCGGCAGGUUGUUUGCAUCUUUUGUUUGGCCUCUUUGUUCUUUCGCGCUUUGUUUCUGUACAAGGAUGUCGAUCGACCCGGCCGGUUGUCGUCGUGCCCUCUGCUGCUGCGUGAUGGGGGAGCAAAGUGGUUCCAAGCCUAACUUGGCAGAUCUUGCGGCAUUUGGUGUUCUGAGACCUAUCAGAUACCUGCAAUCUGGAAAAGACAUGGUUGAGCAUACCCAAAUCGGCGAGUGGUACCAAGGGAUAGAAGAUGCAAUCAGAGAACCAUCAAGAAUCCCAGAGGGCCAGUGCCAGGAGUAG